This 434-nucleotide ribosomal RNA is filed under the name uncultured bacterium. RNAcentral's name for it is "partial 16S ribosomal RNA". It matches the Rfam family "Bacterial small subunit ribosomal RNA", at positions 29 to 507 of the family's 1533-position model. The record is from RNAcentral.
GCGAACGCUGGCGGCAGGCUUAACACAUGCAAGUCGAACGGGCUUCUUCGGAAGUCAGUGGCAGACGGGUGAGUAACACGUGGGAACGUGCCCUUCGGUUCGGAAUAACUCAGGGAAACUUGAGCUAAUACCGGAUACGCCCUUUUGGGGAAAGGUUUACUGCCAAAGGAUCGGCCCGCGUCUGAUUAGCUUGUUGGUGGGGUAACGGCCUACCAAGGCGACGAUCAGUAGCUGGUCUGAGAGGAUGAUCAGCCACACUGGGACUGAGACACGGCCCAGACUCCUACGGGAGGCAGCAGUGGGGAAUAUUGGACAAUGGGCGCAAGCCUGAUCCAGCCAUGCCGCGUGAGUGAUGAAGGCCUUAGGGUUGUAAAGCUCUUUUGUCCGGGACGAUAAUGACGGUACCGGAAGAAUAAGCCCCGGCUAACUUCGUG